This 379-nucleotide ribosomal RNA is filed under the name uncultured Gammaproteobacteria bacterium. RNAcentral's name for it is "bacterial SSU rRNA". It matches the Rfam family "Bacterial small subunit ribosomal RNA", at positions 537 to 915 of the family's 1533-position model. Lineage: Bacteria; Pseudomonadati; Pseudomonadota; Gammaproteobacteria. The record is from RNAcentral.
AGCGUUAAUCGGAAUUNCUGGGCGUAAAGCGCACGUAGGCGGCGCAUUAAGUUGGAUGUGAAAUCCCCGGGCUUAACUUGGGAAUUGCAUUCAAGACUGGUGUGCUGGAGUGUGGGAGAGAGAAGUGGAAUUCCAGGAGUAGCGGUGAAAUGCGUAGAUACCUGGAGGAACAUCAGUGGCGAAGGCGGCUUCUUGGCCCAACACUGACGCUGAGGUGCGAAAGCGUGGGGAUCAAACAGGAUUAGAUACCCUGGUAGUCCACGCUGUAAACGAUGAGAACUAGACGUUGGAAGGAUCUGCCUUUCAGUGUCGUAGCUAACGCGCUAAGUUCUCCGCCUGGGGAGUACGGCCGCAAGGUUGAAACUCAAAGGAAUUGACG